GACGAACGCUGGCGGCGUGCUUAACACAUGCAAGUCGAACGGAAAGGCCCUGCUUGCAGGGUACUCGAGUGGCGAACGGGUGAGUAACACGUGGGUGAUCUGCCCUGCACUUCGGGAUAAGCCUGGGAAACUGGGUCUAAUACCGGAUAGGAGCCAUUUUGAGUGUGAUGGUUGGAAAGUUUUUUCGGUGUAGGAUGAGCUCGCGGCCUAUCAGCUUGUUGGUGGGGUAAUGGCCUACCAAGGCGGCGACGGGUAGCCGGCCUGAGAGGGUGGACGGCCACCUUGGGACUGGGAUACGGCCCAGACUCCUACGGGGGGCAGCAGUGGGGAAUAUUGCACAAUGGGCGCAAGCCUGAUGCAGCGACGCCGCGUGGGGGAUGACGGCCUUCGGGUUGUAAACUCCUUUCGCUAGGGACGAAGCUUUUUGUGACGGUACCUAGAUAAGAAGCACCGGCUAACUACGUG
RNAcentral lists this ribosomal RNA (465 nucleotides) under uncultured bacterium. Its description in RNAcentral is "partial 16S ribosomal RNA". It matches the Rfam family "Bacterial small subunit ribosomal RNA", at positions 28 to 507 of the family's 1533-position model. The record is from RNAcentral.